AAAAAAAAAAAAAAAAUUAGUAUCGUUGGAACAUCAGAUACCUCCCAUUGUGUCGGAUAAGGCUUAUUUGACCUUAGCUGGUUCGCUUGUUAUCUAAAGUCAGGGGAUUUUUCAUACAGCUAGGAGGUUCACAACCUACCGCCCAUUCCAGAAAGUGAUCUUGCUCUUCUCCAACCACCAACUUCCCCAAAUCAAUAGGGCACAUCUCCAUUCUACUAAGAAAGGUUUGUUCUAGAAGAAAAUUGGAGUUGAAAAAAAGAUAUAGACCUAAGUAUUAAUACCUACCACCCACUGGUUUGAUGGCAUGAGUCAGUGAACGUCAUCUAGCUCUAUGAACAUGAUUUCAAAUAACAGUUGAAAGAAAAGGAUACAUAGAUACAAAGAAUUCGAGUGAAGUGACUGAUGAAGGAAAAGAGAUUUAAGGCUAGGCUCAGUGUCUGGAGGGAAUGUCAUUACAGAAGUGGGUGUGCAUCACUGUUUUAUGUCCUACAUGUUCAAAUCCCUUGCUUUAUUGCAGAACCACUUUAUUGUUCAUAAGUAUGAUAAAUAAACAUGUAUUCCUGGUGUUAACCUUCCAAAAUUGGUUAAUAUGGCAUAUCCAAGAGGAACACUGCCAUGUAGAGAGCUCCUAAUUCUACACAGGCACUCUCCCAUCUUGUAUGCUUGCAACUGAUGAUAUAUAUAAUUGAAAUCAACAAAAGAAAUUCAUUCUAGCAUCCUAACAGAGCAGUGGUGAAUGAAUGGGCUAAAAAGAUUAGCCUUACUUGAGCUUGGACAAUUUAUAAGGUUAGAACUAACCAAUUAGUUACUUGCAUUGACACUUAUAAACCCCUUAAACUUGAUGUCUCUUUUAAUAUGGGACUCUUAACAGUAAUUCUAGAAAACAAGGACUGCUUGAUGAUGUGUCCCUCCUACUAGAUCUUUGAUAGCUACUUUGAUUAGCCGGUCACAUUUCAAGGACAAACAAGAAAAGAGAGUCAGCCAACUCAGACCCAUGUAUAAGGCAUCGCAUCUGUAAUCAACAAGCACAAGACCGUAACAGAAAAUAUAAAGCUACCAUCAAGUGUGAAAUUUUAUCCAGAACUUUCCACUGUAAUUGUUGAUGAGUUUAUCGUUGUAUAUGUUUUUAGCUGUUUUGUACUUCAAUUACCUACAACUUGCACAGAGUACAUGGAAGUAUCAUGCCAGAAAUGAAGUUAAAGACCAAUACAAAAUGGAACUAAUAGUCACCAAAAGGAUGUGAUCUAUUUUCUCCAAAGAUAUCAGUCUUCAUAGUAAUAUCAAAUAUUAUAGAAACAGCUUCAAGAAUCCAUUUCAUCAGCAUUUUUCCCACUUAAUCAAGAACACAAUUCACCGUGAAGUUUAAUUGAAGACAAAGUUAUAAAGUUUAACUGAAAGGGGAAAAAAAACCAAAAUAUGAUAUGCGGAAAAAGUCCAGCCGCAAGAAAGAUUCCCUCAGCGAUAUCAAACCGACCGAACACUUAUUUUCUAAAAAUAUCAGCAAAAGCUACUACUAUACACAGAAAUAACUGUCCAACUCAAAAUAUUAACGGGAAACUAUCGAGAAACAGAAGGAAAACGACAAACGCACACCGCUGAUUCGCAUGCCGAAAGAAUAACUUUAUCCAAUAAAGACAGCAGCACACAUGGAAUAUUUACGAAGGAUGAGAGACAACUGAAACAUUGUCUAAAAUAGCAAAACACCCACUUCACAAGCAGCAAGAACAAACUGCACUCCACACAGGAAUCAACAGAGCACAAAUUAUACACAUCAAGCAGACAUGCCAAUCCGAAACUAAAUAUUGCACUCAAACAAACUCCUGAUUAGCCACCUCCUAUUCCUCUUACGUUCCAAUUAUGCACAACAACUAAAUGUUUCCAUAUCUAAUAACACGAUAGAGAAAGAGAAAGGAAAAGUAAUUCAAAACAUCAAACAUUUUGCAAGUUACAGUUCCAGAGACAACCAAAAUUCAGAAAAACCUUUCUUUAAAAACUUUUUCCAAAUUUUGGUUUUCUCAGAAACGACGCGACAAAACUCAGUUUCAAAUCAAAAUUUCCUUCUCUUACCCCGUGUUUGCCAAACAAGACACAGAACCUAACCUAGCUAAACCAUAAAGCAACCAAAAAAGCAAAAAGGAAUCCAGCAUUUGCUCGAUACUGAGAACAGAUACGUUACCAUAAAGUGCACAGAGAACAGCAAUAACAAAGAGAGCUAGGGAGGUAGAAUAAAAACUUUAAUUACGAAAAAUUUUUACAGAAUAACGAACUUUCAAUCUGGAGAGACAAUGACGACGUUGCCGAUCAGGAAUGUAAGUGUUAAACGAUAAGGCAUGCGACG
Molecule: unclassified non-coding RNA, 2338 nt
Filed under: Hevea brasiliensis (rubber tree)
Lineage: Eukaryota; Viridiplantae; Streptophyta; Magnoliopsida; Malpighiales; Euphorbiaceae
Source: RNAcentral